GGGCCGUUAGCUCAAUUGGUAGAGCAGCUGACUCUUAAUCAGUAGGUUGGAGGUUCGAGUCCUCCACGGCCCACCA
This 76-nucleotide transfer RNA is filed under the name bacterium. RNAcentral's name for it is "tRNA-Lys". It matches the Rfam family "tRNA". From Rfam's summary of the family: Transfer RNA (tRNA) molecules are approximately 80 nucleotides in length. RNAcentral also lists the same sequence under 2 other names. The record is from RNAcentral.